Molecule: ribosomal RNA, 253 nt
Filed under: uncultured prokaryote
Description: partial 16S ribosomal RNA
Rfam family: Bacterial small subunit ribosomal RNA
Source: RNAcentral
UACGAAGGGGGCUAGCGUUGUUCGGAAUUACUGGGCGUAAAGAGCGCGUAGGCGGUUUAUCGAGUUGGAAGUGAAAGCCCGGGGCUCAACCUCGGAAUCGCUUUCAAAACUAGUAGACUAGAGUUAGGUAGAGGAUGGUGGAAUUCCUAGUGUAGAGGUGAAAUUCUUAGAUAUUAGGAGGAACACCAGAGGCGAAGGCGGCCAUCUGGGCCUAUACUGACGCUGUGGCGCGAAAGCGUGGGGAGCAAACAGG